Ornithodoros turicata is the source of this 21363-nucleotide long non-coding RNA. RefSeq lists it as uncharacterized. The record is from RefSeq and is a predicted model, not a curated record. The transcript has 2 exons. NCBI's taxonomy places the organism in Eukaryota, Metazoa, Arthropoda, Arachnida, Ixodida, Argasidae.
CAGGCCAACAGCAGAGACUAACUGAAGAACGUCUUGUUCCUGUCAGUAUGCAACGCAAGCCCUCCCAGGCAUCUUUUGCUUCCCGAGGUGCAAGAAGAAAGACAUCAAUAAGACCAACAUACGACGGAGAUGCAUAGGGGACGGCUUCAAAACUGCAUGAAGUCCUUCAGAAUCAUCCAGAAGCGUUGAGGGCGAGGGCCCGAAGGCGAGCAAUUCACUGGCUUUACAAUGGCUUCGCUCGCCCGCUUCUGCAACGAGGCCACUUUCCAAGGGCGCUGCAGAAACGAAAGAGCCGUAGCGGUUUGGCCGACUAGAUCGGCUGUUACAGGCCAACAGCAGAGACUAACUGAAGAACGUCUUGUUCCUGUCAGUAUGCAACGCAAGCCCUCCCAGGCAUCUUUUGCUUCCCGAGGUGCAAGAAGAACGACAUCAAUAAGACCAACAUACGACGGAGAUGCAUAGGGGACGGCUUCGCAACUGCAUGAAGUCCUUCAGAAUCAUCCAGAAGCGUUGAGGGCGAGGGCCCGAAGGCGAGCAAUUCACUGGCUUUACAAUGGCUUCGCUCGCCCGCUUCUGCAACGAGGCCACUUUCCAAGGGCGCUGCAGAAACGAAAGAGCCGUAGCGGUUUGGCCGACUAGAUCGGCUGUUACAGGCCAACAGCAGAGACUAACUGAAGAACGUCUUGUUCCUGUCAGUAUGCAACGCAAGUCCUCCCAGGCAUCUUUUGCUUUCAGAGGUGCAAGAACAACAUCCAUAAUACCCAUAUACGACGGAGAUGCAUAGGGGACGGCUUCGCAACUGCAUGAAGUCCUUCAGAAUCAUCCAGAAGCGUUGAGGGCGAGGGCCCGAAGGCGAGCAGUUCACUGGCUUUACAAUGGCUUCGCUCGCCCGCUUCUGCAACGAGGCCACUUUCCAAGGGCGCUGCAGAAACGAAAGAGCCGUAGCGGUUUGGCCGACUAGAUCGGCUGUUACAGGCCAACAGCAAAGACUAACUGAAGAACGUCUUGUUCCUGUCAGUAUGCAACGCAAGCCCUCCCAGGCAUCUUUUGCUUUCAGAGGUGCAAGAACAACAUCCAUAAUACCCAUACACGACGGAGAUGCAUAGGGGACUGCUUCGCAACUGCAUGAAGUCCUUCAGAAUCAUCCAGAAGCGUUGAGGGCGAGGGCCCGAAGGCGAGCAAUUCACUGGCUUUACAAUGGCUUCGCUCGCCGGCUUCUCGCAACGAGGCCACUUUCCAAGGGCGCUGCAGAAACGAAAGAGCCGUAGCGGUUUGGCAGACUAGAUCGGCUGUUACAGGCCAACAGCAGAGACUAACUGAAGAACGUCUUGUUCGUGUCAGUAUGCAACGCAAGCCCUCCCAGGCAUCUUUUGCUUUCAGAGGUGCAUGAAGAACGACAUCAAUAACACCAACAUACGACGGAGAUGCAUAGGGGACGGCUUCGCAACUGCAUGAAGUCCUUCAGAAUCAUCCAGAAGCGUUGAGGGCGAGGGCCCGAAGGCGAGCAAUUCACUGGCUUUACAAUGGCUUCGCUCGCCCGCUUCUGCAACGAGGCCACUUUCCAAGGGCGCUGCAGAAACGAAAGAGCCGUAGCGGUUUGGCCGACUAGAUCGGCUGUUACAGGCCAGCAGCAGAGACUAACUGAAGAACGUCUUGUUCCUGUCAGUAUGCAACGCAAGCCCUCCCAGGCAUCUUUUGCUUUCAGAGGUGCAUGAAGAACGACAUCAAUAACACCAACAUACGACGGAGAUGCAUAGGGGACGGCUUCGCAACUGCAUGAAGUCCUUCAGAAUCAACCAGAAGCGUUGAGGGCGAGGGCCCGAAGGCGAGCAAUUCACUGGCUUUACAAUGGCUUCGCUCGCCCGCUUCUGCAACGAGGCCCCUCUCCAAGGGCGCUGCAGAAACGAAAGAGCCGUAGCGGUUUGGCCGACUAGAUCGGCUGUUACAGGCCAACAGCAGAGACUAACUGAGGAACGUCUUGUUCCUGUCAGUAUGCAACGCAAGCCCUCCCAGGCAUCUUUUGCUUCCCGAGGUGCAACAACGACAUCCAUAAUACCAACAUACGACGGAGAUGCAUAGGGGACGGCUUCGCAACUGCAUGAAGUCCUUCAGAAUCAUCCAGAAGCGUUGAGGGCGAGGGCCCGAAGGCGAGCAAUUCACUGGCUUUACAAUGGCUUCGCUCGCCCGCUUCUGUAACGAGGUCAUCCAAGGGCGCUGCAGAAACGAAAGAGCCGUAUUGGUUUGGCCGACUAGAUCGGCUGUUACAGGCCAACAGCAGAGACUAACUGAAGAACGUCUUGUUCCUGUCAGUAUGCAACGCAAGCCCUCCCAGGCAUCUUUUGCUUCCCGAGGUGCAAGAAGAAAGACAUCAAUAAGACCAACAUACGACGGAGAUGCAUAGGGGACGGCUUCGCAACUGCAUGAAGUCCUUCAGAAUCAUCCAGAAGCGUUGAGGGCGAGGGCCCGAAGGCGAGCAAUUCACUGGCUUUACAAUGGCUUCGCUCGCCCGCUUCUGCAACGAGGCCACUUUCCAAGGGCGCUGCAGAAACCAAAGAGCCGUAGCGGUUUGGCCGACUAGAUCGGCUGUUACAGGCCAACAGCAGAGACUAACUGAAGAACGUCUUGUUCCUGUCAGUAUGCAACGCAAGCCCUCCCAGGCAUCUUUUGCUUUCAGAGGUGCAAGAAGAAAGACAUCAAUAAGACCAACAUACGACGGAGAUGCAUAGGGGACGGCUUCGCAACUGCAUGAAGUCCUUCAGAAUCAUUCAGAAGCGUUGAGGGCGAGGGCCCGAAGGCGAGCAAUUCACUGGCUUUACAAUGGCUUCGCUCGCCCGCUUCUGCAACGAGGCCACUUUCCAAGGGCGCUGCAGAAACGGAAGAGCCGUAUUGGUUUGGCAGACUAGAUCGGCUGUUACAGGCCAACAGCAGAGACUAACUGAAGAACGUCUUGUUCCUGUCAGUAUGCAACGCAAGCCCUCCCAGGCACCUUUUGUUUUCAGAGGUGCAAGAAGAAAGACAUCAAUAAGACCAACAUGCGACGGAGAUGCAUAGGGGACGGCUUCGCAACUGCAUGAAGUCCUUCAGAAUCAUCCAGAAGCGUUGAGGGCGAGGGCCCAAAGGCGAGCAAUUCACUGGCUUUACAAUGGCUUCGCUCGCCCGCUUCUGCAACGAGGCCACUUUCCAAGGGCGCUGCAGAAACGAAAGAGCCGCAGUAUGCAACGCAAGCCCUCCCAGGCAUCUUUUGCUUUCAGAGGUGCAAGAACAACAUCCAUAAUACCCAUAUACGACGGAGAUGCAUAGGGGACGGCUUCGCAACUGCAUGAAGUCCUUCAGAAUCAUCCAGAAGCGUUGAGGGCGAGGGCCCGAAGGCGAGCAAUUCACUGGCUUUACAAUGGCUUCGCUCGCCCGCUUCUGCAACGAGGCCACUUUCCAAGGGCGCUGCAGAAACGAAAGAGCCGUAGCGGUUUGGCCGACUAGAUCGGCUGUUACAGGCCAACAGCAGAGACUAACUGAAGAACGUCUUGUUCCUGUCAGUAUGCAACGCAAGCCCUCCCAGGCAUCUUUCGCUUUCAGAGGUGCAAGAAGAAAGACAUCAAUAAGACCAACAUACGACGGAGAUGCAUAGGGGACGGCUUCGCAACUGCAUGAAGUCCUUCAGAAUCAUCCAGAAGCGGAGCGCGAGGGCCCAAAGGCGAGCAAUUCACUGGCCUUACAAUGGCUUCGUUCGCCCGCUUCUGCAACGAGGCCACUUUCCAAGGGCGCUGCAGAAACGAAAGAGCCGUAGCGGUUUGGCCGACUAGAUCGGCUGUUACAGGCCAACAGCAGAGACUAACUGAAGAACGUCUUGUUCCUGUCAGUAUGCAACGCAAGCCCUCCCAGGCAUCUUUUGCUUCCCGAGGUGCAAGAAGAACGACAUCAAUAAGACCAACAUACGACGGAGAUGCGUAGGGGACGGCUUCGCAACUGCAUGAAGUCCUUCAGAAUCAUCCAGAAGCGUUGAGGGCGAGGGCCCGAAGGCGAGCAAUUCACUGGCUUUACAAUGGCUUCGCUCGCCCGCUUCUGCAACGAGGCCACUUUCCAAGGGCGCUGCAGAAACGAAAGAGCCGUAGCGGUUUGGCCGACUAGAUCGGCUGUUACAGGCCAACAGCAGAGACUAACUGAAGAACGUCUUGUUCCUGUCAGUAUGCAACGCAAGCCCUCCCAGGCAUCUUUCGCUUUCAGAGGUGCAAGAAGAAAGACAUCAAUAAGACCAACAUACGACGGAGAUGCAUAGGGGACGGCUUCGCAACUGCAUGAAGUCCUUCAGAAUCAUCCAGAAGCGUUGAGGGCGAGGGCCCGAAGGCGAGCAAUUCACUGGCUUUACAAUGGCUUCGCUCGCCCGCUUCUGCAAUGAGGUCACUUUCCAAGGGCGCUGCAGAAACCAAAGAGCCGUAGCGGUUUGGCCGACUAGAUCGGCUGUUACAGGCCAACAGCAGAGACUAACUGAAGAAAGUCUUGUUCCUGUCAGUAUGCAACGCAAGCCCUCCCAGGCAUCUUUUGCUUUCAGAGGUGCAAGAAGAAAGACAUCAAUAAGACCAACAUACGACGGAGAUGCAUAGGGGACGGCUUCGCAACUGCAUGAAGUCCUUCAGAAUCAUCCAGAAGCGUUGAGGGCGAGGGCCCGAAGGCGAGCAAUUCACUGGCUUUACAAUGGCUUCGCUCGCCCGCUUCUGCAACGAGGCCACUUUCCAAGGGCGCUGCAGAAGCGAAAGAGCCGUAGCGGUUUGGCCGACUGGAUCGGCUGUUACAGGCCAACAGCAGAGACUAACUGAAGAACGUCUUGUUCCUGUCAGUAUGCAACGCAAGCCCUCCCAGGCAUCUUUUGCUUCCCGAGGUACAAGAACGACAUCCAUAAUACCAACAUACGACGGAGAUGCAUAGGGGACGGCUUCGCAACUGCAUGAAGUCCUUCAGAAUCAUCCAGAAGCGUUGAGGGCGAGGGCCCGAAGGCGAGCAAUUCACUGGCUUUACAAUGGCUUCGCUCGCCCGCUUCUGCAACGAGGCCACUUUCCAAGGGCGCUGCAGAAACGAAAGAGCCGUAGCGGUUUGGCCGACUAGAUCGGCUGUUACAGGCCAACAGCAGAGACUAACUGAAGAACGUCUUGUUCCUGUCAGUAUGCAACGCAAGCCCUCCCAGGCAUCUUUUGCUUUCAGAAGUGCAAGAACAACAUCCAUAAUACCAAUAUACGACGGAGAUGCAUAGGGGACGGCUUCGCAACGGCAUGAAGUCCUUCAGAAUCAUCCAGAAGCGUUGAGGGAGAGGGCCCGAAGGCGAGCAAUUCACUGGCUUUACAAUGGCUUCGCUCGCUCGCUCCUGCAACGAGGCCACUUUCCAAGGGCGCUGCAGAAACGAAAGAGCCGUAGCCGUUUGGCCGACUAGAUCGGCUGUUACAGGCAAACAGCAGAGACUAACUGAAGAACGCCUAGUUCCUGUCAGUAUGCAACGCAAGCCCUCCCAGGCAUCUUUUGCUUCCCGAGAUGCAAGAAGAACGACAUCAAUAACACCAACAUAGACUGAGAUGCAUAGGGGACGGCUUCGCAACUGCAUGAAGUCCUUCAGAAUCAUCCAGAAGCGUUGAGGGCGAGGGCCCGAAGGCGAGCAAUUCACUGGCUUUACAAUGGCUUCGCUCGCCCGCUUCUGCAACGAGGCCACUUUCCAAGGGCGCUGCAGAAACGAAAGAGCCGUAGCGGUUUGGCCGACUAGAUCGGCUGUUACAGGCCAACAGCAGAGACUAACUGAAGAACAUCCUGUUCCUGUCAGUAUGCAACGCAAGCCCUCCCAGGCAUCUUUUGCUUUCAGAAGUGCAAGAACAACAUCCAUAAUACCAAUAUACGACGGAGAUGCAUAGGGGACGGCUUCGCAACGGCAUGAAGUCCUUCAGAAUCAUCCAGAAGCGUUGAGGGCGAGGGCCCGAAGGCGAGCAAUUCACUGGCUUUACAAUGGCUUCGCUCGCCGGCUUCUGCAACGAGGCCACUUUCCAAGGGCGCUGCAGAAACGAAAGAGCCGUAGCCGUUUGGCCGACUAGAUCGGCUGUUACAGGCAAACAGCAGAGACUAACUGAAGAACGCCUAGUUCCUGUCAGUAUGCAACGCAAGCCCUCCCAGGCAUCUUUUGCUUCCCGAGAUGCAAGAAGAACGACAUCAAUAACACCAACAUAGACUGAGAUGCAUAGGGGACGGCUUCGCAACUGCAUGAAGUCCUUCAGAAUCAUCCAGAAGCGUUGAGGGCGAGGGCCCGAAGGCGAGCAAUUCACUGGCUUUACAAUGGCUUCGCUCGCCCGCUUCUGCAACGAUGCCACUUUCCAAGGGCGCUGCAGAAACGAAAGAGCCGUAGCGGUUUGGCCGACUAGAUCGGCUGUUACAGGCCAACAGCAGAGACUAACUGAAGAACGUCUUGUUCCUGUCAGUAUGCAACGCAGGCCCUCCCAGGCAUCUUUUGCUUCCCGAGGUGCAAGAACGACAUCCAUAAUACCAACAUAACGACGGAGAUGCAUAGGGGAUGGCUUCGCAACUGCAUGAAGUCCUUCAGAAUCAUCCAGAAGCGUUGAGGGCGAGGGCCCGAAGUCGAGCAAUUCACUGGCUUUACAAUGGCUUCGCUCGCCCGCUUCUGCAACGAGGCCACUUUCCAAGGGCGCUGCAGAAACGAAAGAGCCGUAGCGGUUUGGCCGACUAGAUCGGCUGUUACAGGCAAACAGCAGAGACUAACUGAAGAACGCCUAGUUCCUGUCAGUAUGCAACGCAAGCCCUCCCAGGCAUCUUUUGCUUCCCGAGGUGCAAGAAGAACGACAUCCAUAAUACCAACAUACGACGGAGAUGCAUAGGGGAUGGCUUCGCAACUGCAUGAAGUCCUUCAGAAUCAUCCAGAAGCGUUGAAUGCGAGGGCGCGAAGGCGAGCAAUUCACUGGCUUUACAAUGGCUUCGCUCGCCCGCUUCUGCAACGAGGCCACUUUCCAAGAGCGCUGCAGAAACGAAAGAGCCGUAGCGGUUUGGCCGACUAGAUCGGCUGUUACAGGCCAACAGCAGAGACUAACUGAAGAACGUCUUGUUCCUGUCAGUAUGCAACGCAGGCCCUCCCAGGCAUCUUUUGCUUCCCGAGGUGCAAGAACGACAUCCAUAAUACCAACAUAACGACGGAGAUGCAUAGGGGAUGGCUUCGCAACUGCAUGAAGUCCUUCAGAAUCAUCCAGAAGCGUUGAGGGCGAGGGCCCGAAGGCGAGCAAUUCACUGGCUUUACAAUGGCUUCGCUCGCCCGCUUCUGCAACGAGGCCACUUUCCACGGGCGCUGCAUAAACGAAAGAGCCGUAGCGGUUUGGCCGACUAGAUCGGCUGUUACAGGCCAACAGCAGAGACUAACUGAAGAACGUCUUGUUCCUGUCAGUAUGCAACGCAGGCCCUCCCAGGCAUCUUUUGCUUCCCGAGGUGCAAGAAGAACGACAUCCAUAAUACCAACAUAACGACGGAGAUGCAUAGGGGACGGCUUCGCAACUGCAUGAAGUCCUUCAGAAUCAUCCAGAAGCGUUGAGGGCGAGGGCGCGAAGGCGAGCAAUUCACUGGCUUUACAAUGGCUUCGCUCGCCCGCUUCUGCAACCAGGCCACUUUCCAAGGGCGCUGCAGAAACGAAAGAGCCGUAGCGGUUUGGCCGACUAGAUCGGCUGUUACAGGCCAACAGCAGAGACUAACUGUAGAACGUCUUGUUCCUGUCAGUAUGCAACGCAAGCCCUCCCAGGCAUCUUUUGCUUUCAGAAGUGCAAGAACAACAUCCAUAAUACCAAUAUACGACGGAGAUGCAUAGGGGACGGCUUCGCAACGGCAUGAAGUCCUUCAGAAUCAUCCAGAAGCGUUGAGGGCGAGGGCCCGAAGGCGAGCAAUUCACUGGCUUUACAAUGGCUUCGCUCGCCCGCUUCUGCAACGAGGCCACUUUCCAAGGGCGCUGCAGAAACGAAAGAGCCGUAGCCGUUUGGCCGACUAGGUCGGCUGUUACAGGCAAACAGCAGAGACUAACUGAAGAACGCCUAGUUCCUGUCAGUAUGCAACGCAAGCCCUCCCAGGCAUCUUUUGCUUCCCGAGAUGCAAGAAGAACGACAUCAAUAACACAAACAUAGACUGAGAUGCAUAGGGGACGGCUUCGCAACUGCAUGAAGUCCUUCAGAAUCAUCCAGAAGCGUUGAGGGCGAGGGCCCGAAGGCGAGCAAUUCACUGGCUUUACAAUGGCUUCGCUCGCCCGCUUCUGCAACGAGGCCACUUUCCACGGGCGCUGCAUAAACGAAAGAGCCGUAGCGGUUUGGCCGACUAGAUCGGCUGUUAGAGGCCAACAGCAGAGACUAACUGAAGAACGUCUUGUUCCUGUCAGUAUGCAACGCAGGCCCUCCCAGGCAUCUUUUGCUUCCCGAGGUGCAAGAAGAACGACAUCCAUAAUACCAACAUAACGACGGAGAUGCAUAGGGGACGGCUUCGCAACUGCAUGAAGUCCUUCAGAAUCAUCCAGAAGCGUUGAAUGCGAGGGCGCGAAGGCGAGCAAUUCACUGGCUUUACAAUGGCUUCGCUCGCCCGCUUCUGCAACGAGGCCACUUUCCAAGGGCGCUGCAGAAACGAAAGAGCCGUAGCGGUUUGGCCGACUAGAUCGGCUGUUACAGGCCAACAGCAGAGACUAACUGAGGAACUUCUUGUUCCUGUCAGUAUGCAACGCAGGCCCUCCCAGGCAUCUUUUGCUUCCCGAGGUGCAAGAACGACAUCCAUAAUGCCAACAUACGACCGAGAUGCAUAGGGGAUGGCUUCGCAACUGCAUGAAGUCCUUCAGAAUCAUCCAGAAGCGUUGAGGGCGAGGGCCCGAAGGCGAGCAAUUCACUGGCUUUACAAUGGCUUCGCUCGCCCGCUUCUGCAACGAGGCCACUUUCCAAGGGCGCUGCAGAAACGAAAGAGCCGUAGCCGUUUGGCCGACUAGGUCGGCUGUUACAGGCAAACAGCAGAGACUAACUGAAGAACGCCUAGUUCCUGUCAGUAUGCAACGCAAGCCCUCCCAGGCAUCUUUUGCUUCCCGAGAUGCAAGAAGAACGACAUCAAUAACACAAACAUAGACUGAGAUGCAUAGGGGACGGCUUCGCAACUGCAUGAAGUCCUUCAGAAUCAUCCAGAAGCGUUGAGGGCGAGGGCCCGAAGGCGAGCAAUUCACUGGCUUUACAAUGGCUUCGCUCGCCCGCUUCUGCAACGAGGCCACUUUCCACGGGCGCUGCAUAAACGAAAGAGCCGUAGCGGUUUGGCCGACUAGAUCGGCUGUUACAGGCCAACAGCAGAGACUAACUGAAGAACGUCUUGUUCCUGUCAGUAUGCAACGCAGGCCCUCCCAGGCAUCUUUUGCUUCCCGAGGUGCAAGAAGAACGACAUCCAUAAUACCAACAUAACGACGGAGAUGCAUAGGGGAUGGCUUCGCAACUGCAUGAAGUCCUUCAGAAUCAUCCAGAAGCGUUGAGGGCGAGGGCGCGAAGGCGAGCAAUUCACUGGCUUUACAAUGGCUUCGCUCGCCCGCUUCUGCAACGAGGCCACUUUCCAAGAGCGCUGCAGAAACGAAAGAGCCGUAGCGGUUUGGCCGACUAGAUCGGCUGUUACAGGCCAACAGCAGAGACUAACUGAAGAACGUCUUGUUCCUGUCAGUAUGCAACGCAAGCCCUCCCAGGCAUCUUUUGCUUUCAGAAGUGCAAGAACAACAUCCAUAAUACCAAUAUACGACGGAGAUGCAUAGGGGACGGCUUCGCAACGGCAUGAAGUCCUUCAGAAUCAUCCAGAAGCGUUGAAGGCGAGGGCCCGAAGGCGAGCAAUUCACUGGCUUUACAAUGGCUUCGCUCGCCCGCUUCUGCAACGAGGCCACUUUCCAAGGGCGCUGCAGAAACGAAAGAGCCGUAGCCGUUUGGCCGACUAGAUCGGCUGUUACAGGCAAACAGCAGAGACUAACUGAAGAACGCCUAGUUCCUGUCAGUAUGCAACGCAAGCCCUCCCAGGCAUCUUUUGCUUCCCGAGAUGCAAGAAGAACGACAUCAAUAACACCAACAUAGACUGAGAUGCAUAGGGGACGGCUUCGCAACUGCAUGAAGUCCUUCAGAAUCAUCCAGAAGCGUUGAGGGCGAGGGCCCGAAGGCGAGCAAUUCACUGGCUUUACAAUGGCUUCGCUCGCCCGCUUCUGCAACGAGGCCACUUUCCACGGGCGCUGCAUAAACGAAAGAGCCGUAGCGGUUUGGCCGACUAGAUCGGCUGUUACAGGCCAACAGCAGAGACUAACUGAAGAACGUCUUGUUCCUGUCAGUAUGCAACGCAGGCCCUCCCAGGCAUCUUUUGCUUCCCGAGGUGCAAGAAGAACGACAUCCAUAAUACCAACAUAACGACGGAGAUGCAUAGGGGAUGGCUUCGCAACUGCAUGAAGUCCUUCAGAAUCAUCCAGAAGCGUUGAGGGCGAGGGCCCGAAGGCGAGCAAUUCACUGGCUUUACAAUGGCUUCGCUUGCCCGCUUCUGCAACGAGGCCACUUUCCAAGGGCACUGCAGAAACGAAAGAGCCGUAGCGGUUUGGCCGACUAGAUCGGCUGUUACAGGCAAACAGCAGAGACUAACUGAAGAACGCCUAGUUCCUGUCAGUAUGCAACGCAAGCCCUCCCAGGCAUCUUUUGCUUCCCGAGGUGCAAGAAGAACGACAUCAAUAAGAACAACACACGACGGAGAUGCAUAGGGGACGGCUUCGCAACUGCAUGAAGUCCAGAAUCAUCCAGAAGCGGAGGGCGAGGGACCGAAGGCGAGCAAUUCACUGGCUUUACAAUGGCUUCGCUCGCCCGCUUCUGCAACCAGGCCACUUUCCAAGGGCGCUGCAGAAACGAAAGAGCCGUAGCGGUUUGGCCGACUAGAUUGGCUGUUACAGGCCAACAGCUGAGACUAACUGAAGAACGUCUUGUUCCUGUCAGUAUGCAACGCAAGCCCUCCCAGGCAUCUUUUGCUUCCCGAGAUGCAAGAAGAACGACAUCAAUAACACCAACAUAGACUAAGAUGCAUAGGGGACGGCUUCGCAACUGCAUGAAGUCCUUCAGAAUCAUCUAGAAGCGUUGAGGGCGAGGGCCCGAAGGCGAGCAAUUCACUGGCUUUACAAUGGCUUCGCUCGCCCGCUUCUGCAACGAGGCCACUUUCCAAGGGCGCUGCAGAAACGAAAGAGCCGUAGCGGUUUGGCCGACUAGAUCGGCUGUUACAGGCCAACAGCAGAGACUAACUAAAGAACGUCGUGUUCCUGUCAGUAUGCAACGCAGGCCCUCCCAGGCAUCUUUUGCUUCCCGAGGUGCAAGAAGAACGACAUCCAUAAUACCAACAUACGACGGAGAUGCAUAUGGGACGGCUUCGCAACUGCAUGAAGUCCUUCAGAAUUAUCCAGAAGCGUUGAAGGCGAGGCCCGAAGGCGAGCAAUUCACUGGCUUUACAAUGGCUUCGCUCGCCCGCUUCUGCAACGAGGCCACUUUCCAAGGGCGCUGCAGAAACGAAAGAGCCGUAGCGGUUUGGCCGACUAGAUCUGCUGUUACAGGCCAACAGCAGAGACUAACUGAAGAACGUCUUGUUCCUCUCAGUAUGCAACGGAAGCCCUCCCAGGCAUCUUUUGCUUCCCGAGGUGCAAGAAGAACGACAUCCAUAAUACCAACAUACGACGGAGAUGCAUAGGGGAUGGCUUCGCAACUGCAUGAAGUCCUUCAGAAUCAUCCAGAAGCGUUGAGGGCGAGGGCCCGAAGGCGAGCAAUUCACUGGCUUUACAAUGGCUUCGCUCGCCCGCUUCUGCAACGAGGCCACUUUCCAAGGGCGCUGCAGAAACGAAAGAGCCGUAGCGGUUUGGCCGACUAGAUCGGCUGUUACAGGCCAACAGCAGAGACUAACUGAAGAACGUCUUGUUCCUGUCAGUAUGCAACGCAAGCCCUCCCAGGCAUCUUUUGGAAGUGCAAGAACAACAUCCAUAAUACCAAUAUACGACGGAGAUGCAUAGGGGACGGCUUCGCAACGGCAUGAAGUCCUUCAGAAUCAUCCAGAAGCGUUGAGGGCGAGGGCCCGAAGGCGAGCAAUUCACUGGCUUUACAAUGGCUUCGCUCGCCCGCUUCUGCAACGAGGCCACUUUCCAAGGGCGCUGCAGAAACGAAAGAGCCGUAGCCGUUUGGCCGACUAGAUCGGCUGUUACAGGCAAACAGCAGAGACUAACUGAAGAACGCCUAGUUCCUGUCAGUAUGCAACGCAAGCCCUCCCAGGCAUCUUUUGCUUCCCGAGAUUCAAGAAGAACGACAUCCAUAAUACCAACAUACGACGGAGAUGCAUAUGGGACGGCUUCGCAACUGCAUGAAGUCCUUCAGAAUUAUCCAGAAGCGUUGAAGGCGAGGCCCGAAGACGAGCAAUUCACUGGCUUUACAAUGGCUUCGCUCGCCCGCUUCUGCAACGAGGCCACUUUCCAAGGGCGCUGCAGAAACGAAAAGAGCCGUAGCGGUUUGGCCGACUAGAUCUGCUGUUACAGGCCAACAGCAGAGACUAACUGAAGAACGUCUUGUUCCUCUCAGUAUGCAACGGAAGCCCUCCCAGGCAUCUUUUGCUUCCCGAGGUGCAAGAAGAACGACAUCCAUAAUACCAACAUACGACGGAGAUGCAUAGGGGAUGGCUUCGCAACUGCAUGAAGUCCUUCAGAAUCAUCCAGAAGCGUUGAGGGCGAGGGCCCGAAGGCGAGCAAUUCACUGGCUUUACAAUGGCUUCGCUCGCCCGCUUCUGCAACGAGGCCACUUUCCAAGGGCGCUGCAGAAACGAAAGAGCCGUAGCGGUUUGGCCGACUAGAUCGGCUGUUACAGGCCAACAGCAGAGACUAACUGAAGAACGUCUUGUUCCUGUCAGUAUGCAACGCAAGCCCUCCCAGGCAUCUUUUGGAAGUGCAAGAACAACAUCCAUAAUACCAAUAUACGACGGAGAUGCAUAGGGGACGGCUUCGCAACGGCAUGAAGUCCUUCAGAAUCAUCCAGAAGCGUUGAGGGCGAGGGCCCGAAGGCGAGCAAUUCACUGGCUUUAGAAUGGCUUCGCUCGCCCGCUUCUGCAACGAGGCCACUUUCCAAGGGCGCUGCAGAAACGAAAGAGCCGUAGCCGUUUGGCCGACUAGAUCGGCUGUUACAGGCAAACAGCAGAGACUAACUGAAGAACGCCUAGUUCCUGUCAGUAUGCAACGCAAGCCCUCCCAGGCAUCUUUUGCUUCCCGAGGUGCAAGAAGAACGACAUCCAUAAUACCAACAUACGACGGAGAUGCAUAGGGGACGGCUUCGCAACUGCAUGAAGUCCUUCAGAAUUAUCCAGAAGCGUUGAAGGCGAGGCCCGAAGGCGAGCAAUUCACUGGCUUUACAAUGGCUUCGCUCGCCCGCUUCUGCAACGAGGCCACUUUCCAAGGGCGCUGCAGAAACGAAAGAGCCGUAGCGGUUUGGCCGACUAGAUCUGCUGUUACAGGCCAACAGCAGAGACUAACUGAAGAACGUCUUGUUCCUCUCAGUAUGCAACGGAAGCCCUCCCAGGCAUCUUUUGCUUCCCGAGGUGCAAGAAGAACGACAUCCAUAAUACCAACAUAACGACGGAGAUGCAUAGGGGAUGGCUUCGCAACUGCAUGAAGUCCUUCAGAAUCAUCCAGAAGCGUUGAGGGCGAGGGCCCGAAGGCGAGCAAUUCACUGGCUUUACAAUGGCUUCGCUUGCCCGCUUCUGCAACGAGGCCACUUUCCAAGGGCGCUGCAGAAACGAAAGAGCCGUAGCGGUUUGGCCGACUAGAUCGGCUGUUACAGGCAAACAGCAGAGACUAACUGAAGAACGCCUAGUUCCUGUCAGUAUGCAACGCAAGCCCUCCCAGGCAUCUUUUGCUUCCCGAGGUGCAAGAAGAACGACAUCAAUAAGAACAACACACGACGGAGAUGCAUAGGGGACGGCUUCGCAACUGCAUGAAGUCCAGAAUCAUCCAGAAGCGGAGGGCGAGGGACCGAAGGCGAGCAAUUCACUGGCUUUACAAUGGCUUCGCUCGCCCGCUUCUGCAACCAGGCCACUUUCCAAGGGCGCUGCAGAAACGAAAGAGCCGUAGCGGUUUGGCCGACUAGAUUGGCUGUUACAGGCCAACAGCUGAGACUAACUGAAGAACGUCUUGUUCCUGUCAGUAUGCAACGCAAGCCCUCCCAGGCAUCUUUUGCUUCCCGAGAUGCAAGAAGAACGACAUCAAUAACACCAACAUAGACUAAGAUGCAUAGGGGACGGCUUCGCAACUGCAUGAAGUCCUUCAGAAUCAUCUAGAAGCGUUGAGGGCGAGGGCCCGAAGGCGAGCAAUUCACUGGCUUUACAAUGGCUUCGCUCGCCCGCUUCUGCAACGAGGCCACUUUCCAAGGGCGCUGCAGAAACGAAAGAGCCGUAGCGGUUUGGCCGACUAGAUCGGCUGUUACAGGCCAACAGCAGAGACUAACUAAAGAACGUCGUGUUCCUGUCAGUAUGCAACGCAGGCCCUCCCAGGCAUCUUUUGCUUCCCGAGGUGCAAGAAGAACGACAUCCAUAAUACCAACAUACGACGGAGAUGCAUAGGGGAUGGCUUCGCAACUGCAUGAAGUCCUUCAGAAUCAUCCAGAAGCGUUGAGGGCGAGGGCCCGAAGGCGAGCAAUUCACUGGCUUUACAAUGGCUUCGCUCGCCCGCUUCUGCAACGAGGCCACUUUCCAAGGGCGCUGCAGAAACGAAAGAGCCGUAGCGGUUUGGCCGACUAGAUCUGCUGUUACAGGCCAACAGCAGAGACUAACUGAAGAACGUCUUGUUCCUCUCAGUAUGCAACGGAAGCCCUCCCAGGCAUCUUUUGCUUCCCGAGGUGCAAGAAGAACGACAUCCAUAAUACCAACAUACGACGGAGAUGCAUAGGGGAUGGCUUCGCAACUGCAUGAAGUCCUUCAGAAUCAUCCAGAAGCGUUGAGGGCGAGGGCCCGAAGGCGAGCAAUUCACUGGCUUUACAAUGGCUUCGCUCGCCCGCUUCUGCAACGAGGCCACUUUCCAAGGGCGCUGCAGAAACGAAAGAGCCGUAGCGGUUUGGCCGACUAGAUCUGCUGUUACAGGCCAACAGCAGAGACUAACUGAAGAACGUCUUGUUCCUCUCAGUAUGCAACGGAAGCCCUCCCAGGCAUCUUUUGCUUCCCGAGGUGCAAGAAGAACGACAUCCAUAAUACCAACAUACGACGGAGAUGCAUAGGGGAUGGCUUCGCAACUGCAUGAAGUCCUUCAGAAUCAUCCAGAAGCGUUGAGGGCGAGGGCCCGAAGGCGAGCAAUUCACUGGCUUUACAAUGGCUUCGCUCGCCCGCUUCUGCAACGAGGCCACUUUCCAAGGGCGCUGCAGAAACGAAAGAGCCGUAGCGGUUUGGCCGACUAGAUCGGCUGUUACAGGCCAACAGCAGAGACUAACUGAAGAACGUCUUGUUCCUGUCAGUAUGCAACGCAAGCCCUCCCAGGCAUCUUUUGGAAGUGCAAGAACAACAUCCAUAAUACCAAUAUACGACGGAGAUGCAUAGGGGACGGCUUCGCAACGGCAUGAAGUCCUUCAGAAUCAUCCAGAAGCGUUGAGGGCGAGGGCCCGAAGGCGAGCAAUUCACUGGCUUUACAAUGGCUUCGCUCGCCCGCUUCUGCAACGAUGCCACUUUCCAAGGGCGCUGCAGAAACGAAAGAGCCGUAGCCGUUUGCCCGACUAGAUCGGCUGUUACAGGCAAACAGCAGAGACUAACUGAAGAACGCCUAGUUCCUGUCAGUAUGCAACGCAAGCCCUCCCAGGCAUCUUUUGCUUCCCGAGAUUCAAGAAGAACGACAUCCAUAAUACCAACAUACGACGGAGAUGCAUAUGGGACGGCUUCGCAACUGCAUGAAGUCCUUCAGAAUUAUCCAGAAGCGUUGAAGGCGAGGCCCGAAGGCGAGCAAUUCAGUGGCUUUACAAUGGCUUCGCUCGCCCGCUUCUGCAACGAAGCCACUUUCCAAGGGCGCUGCAGAAACGAAAAGAGCCGUAGCGGUUUGGCCGACUAGAUCUGCUGUUACAGGCCAACAGCAGAGACUAACUGAAGAACGUCUUGUUCCUCUCAGUAUGCAACGGAAGCCCUCCCAGGCAUCUUUUGCUUCCCGAGGUGCAAGAAGAACGACAUCCAUAAUACCAACAUACGACGGAGAUGCAUAGGGGAUGGCUUCGCAACUGCAUGAAGUCCUUCAGAAUCAUCCAGAAGCGUUGAGGGCGAGGGCCCGAAGGCGAGCAAUUCACUGGCUUUACAAUGGCUUCGCUCGCCCGCUUCUGCAACGAGGCCACUUUCCAAGGGCGCUGCAGAAACGAAAGAGCCGUAGCGGUUUGGCCGACUAGAUCUGCUGUUACAGGCCAACAGCAGAGACUAACUGAAGAACGUCUUGUUCCUCUCAGUAUGCAACGGAAGCCCUCCCAGGCAUCUUUUGCUUCCCGAGGUGCAAGAAGAACGACAUCCAUAAUACCAACAUACGACGGAGAUGCAUAGGGGAUGGCUUCGCAACUGCAUGAAGUCCUUCAGAAUCAUCCAGAAGCGUUGAGGGCGAGGGCCCGAAGGCGAGCAAUUCACUGGCUUUACAAUGGCUUCGCUCGCCCGCUUCUGCAACGAGGCCACUUUCCAAGGGCGCUGCAGAAACGAAAGAGCCGUAGCGGUUUGGCCGACUAGAUCGGCUGUUACAGGCCAACAGCAGAGACUAACUGAAGAACGUCUUGUUCCUGUCAGUAUGCAACGCAAGCCCUCCCAGGCAUCUUUUGGAAGUGCAAGAACAACAUCCAUAAUACCAAUAUACGACGGAGAUGCAUAGGGGACGGCUUCGCAACGGCAUGAAGUCCUUCAGAAUCAUCCAGAAGCGUUGAGGGCGAGGGCCCGAAGGCGAGCAAUUCACUGGCUUUACAAUGGCUUCGCUCGCCCGCUUCUGCAACGAUGCCACUUUCCAAGGGCGCUGCAGAAACGAAAGAGCCGUAGCCGUUUGCCCGACUAGAUCGGCUGUUACAGGCAAACAGCAGAGACUAACUGAAGAACGCCUAGUUCCUGUCAGUAUGCAACGCAAGCCCUCCCAGGCAUCUUUUGCUUCCCGAGAUUCAAGAAGAACGACAUCCAUAAUACCAACAUACGACGGAGAUGCAUAUGGGACGGCUUCGCAACUGCAUGAAGUCCUUCAGAAUUAUCCAGAAGCGUUGAAGGCGAGGCCCGAAGGCGAGCAAUUCAGUGGCUUUACAAUGGCUUCGCUCGCCCGCUUCUGCAACGAAGCCACUUUCCAAGGGCGCUGCAGAAACGAAAAGAGCCGUAGCGGUUUGGCCGACUAGAUCUGCUGUUACAGGCCAACAGCAGAGACUAACUGAAGAACGUCUUGUUCCUCUCAGUAUGCAACGGAAGCCCUCCCAGGCAUCUUUUGCUUCCCGAGGUGCAAGAAGAACGACAUCCAUAAUACCAACAUACGACGGAGAUGCAUAGGGGAUGGCUUCGCAACUGCAUGAAGUCCUUCAGAAUCAUCCAGAAGCGUUGAGGGCGAGGGCCCGAAGGCGAGCAAUUCACUGGCUUUACAAUGGCUUCGCUCGCCCGCUUCUGCAACGAGGCCACUUUCCAAGGGCGCUGCAGAAACGAAAGAGCCGUAGCGGUUUGGCCGACUAGAUCGGCUGUUACAGGCCAACAGCAGAGACUAACUGAAGAACGUCUUGUUCCUGUCAGUAUGCAACGCAAGCCCUCCCAGGCAUCUUUUGGAAGUGCAAGAACAACAUCCAUAAUACCAAUAUACGACGGAGAUGCAUAGGGGACGGCUUCGCAACGGCAUGAAGUCCUUCAGAAUCAUCCAGAAGCGUUGAGGGCGAGGGCCCGAAGGCGAGCAAUUCACUGGCUUUAGAAUGGCUUCGCUCGCCCGCUUCUGCAACGAGGCCACUUUCCAAGGGCGCUGCAGAAACGAAAGAGCCGUAGCCGUUUGGCCGACUAGAUCGGCUGUUACAGGCAAACAGCAGAGACUAACUGAAGAACGCCUAGUUCCUGUCAGUAUGCAACGCAAGCCCUCCCAGGCAUCUUUUGCUUCCCGAGAUGCAAGAAGAACGACAUCAAUAACACCAACAUAGACUGAGAUGCAUAGGGGACGGCUUCGCAACUGCAUGAAGUCCUUCAGAAUCAUCCAGAAGCGUUGAGGGCGAGGGCCCGAAGGCGAGCAAUUCACUGGCUUUACAAUGGCUUCGCUCGCCCGCUUCUGCAACGAGGCCACUUUCCAAGGGCGCUGCAGAAACGAAAGAGCCGUAGCGGUUUGGCCGACUAGAUCGGCUGUUACAGGCCAACAGCAGAGACUAACUGAAGAACGUCUUGUUCCUGUCAGUAUGCAACGCAGGCCCUCCCAGGCAUCUUUUGCUUCCCGAGGUGCAAGAAGAACGACAUCCAUAAUACCAACAUACGACGGAGAUGCAUAGGGGAUGGCUUCGCAACUGCAUGAAGUCCUUCAGAAUCAUCCAGAAGCGUUGAGGGCGAGGGCCCGAAGGCGAGCAGUUCACUGGCUUUACAAUGGCUUCGCUCGCCCGCUUCUGCAACGAGGCCACUUUCCAAGGGCGCUGCAGAAACGAAAGAGCCGUAGCGGUUUGGCCGACUAGAUCGGCUGUUACAGGCCAACAGCAGAGACUAACUGAAGAACGUCUUGUUCCUGUCAGUACGCAACGCAAGCCCUCCCAGGCAUCUUUUGCUUUCAGAAGUGCAAGAACAACAUCCAUAAUACCAAUAUACGAUGGAGAUGCAUAGGGGACGGCUUCGCAACAGCAUGAAGUCCUUCAGAAUCAUCCAGAAGCGUUGAGGGCGAGGGCCCGAAGGCGAGCAAUUCACUGGCUUUACAAUGGCUUCGCUCGCCCGCUUCUGCAACGAGGCCACUUUCCAAGGGCGCUGCAGAAACGAAAGAGCCGUAGCGGUUUGGCCGACUAGAUCGGCUGUUACAGGCCAACAGCAGAGACUAACUGAAGAACGUGUUGUUCCUGUCAGUAUGCAACGCAGGCCCUCCCAGGCAUCUUUUGCUUCCCGAGGUGCAAGAAGAACGACAUCCAUAAUACCAACAUACGACGGAGAUGCAUAGGGGAUGGCUUCGCAACUGCAUGAAGUCCUUCAGAAUCAUCCAGAAGCGUUGAGGGCGAGGGCCCGAAGGCGAGCAGUUCACUGGCUUUACAAUGGCUUCGCUCGCCCGCUUCUGCAACGAGGCCCCUUUCCAAGGGCGCUGCAGAAACGAAAGAGCCGUAGCGGUUUGGCCGACUAGAUCGGCUGUUACAGGGCAACAGCAGAGACUAACUGAAGAACGUCUUGUUCCUGUCAGUAUGCAACGCAAGCCCUCCCAGGCAUCUUUUGCUUUCAGAAGUGCAAGAACAACAUCCAUAAUACCAAUAUACGACGGAGAUGCAUAGGGGACGGCUUCGCAACUGCAUGAAGUCCUUCAGAAUCAUCCAGAAGCGUUGAGGGCGAGGGCCCGAAGGCGAGCAAUUCACUGGCUUUACAAUUGCUUCGUUCGCCCGCUUCUCCAACGAGGCCAAUUUCCAAGGGCGCUGCAGAAACGAAAGAGCCGUAGCGGUUUGGCCGACUAGAUCGGCUGUUACAGGCCAACAGCAGAGACUAACUGAAGAACGUCUUGUUCCUGUCAGUAUGCAACGCAGGCCCUCCCAGGCAUCUUUUGCUUCCCGAGGUGCAAGAAGAACGACAUCCAUAAUACCAACAUACGACGGAGAUGCAUAGGGGAUGGCUUCGCAACUGCAUGAAGUCCUUCAGAAUCAUCCAGAAGCGUUGAGGGCGAGGGCCCGAAGGCGAGCAGUUCACUGGCUUUACAAUGGCUUCGCUCGCCCGCUUCUGCAACGAGGCCCCUUUCCAAGGGCGCUGCAGAAACGAAAGAGCCGUAGCGGUUUGGCCGACUAGAUCGGCUGUUACAGGGCAACAGCAGAGACUAACUGAAGAACGUCUUGUUCCUGUCAGUAUGCAACGCAAGCCCUCCCAGGCAUCUUUUGCUUUCAGAAGUGCAAGAACAACAUCCAUAAUACCAAUAUACGACGGAGAUGCAUAGGGGACGGCUUCGCAACUGCAUGAAGUCCUUCAGAAUCAUCCAGAAGCGUUGAGGGCGAGGGCCCGAAGGCGAGCAAUUCUCUGGCUUUACAAUGGCUUCGUUCGCCCGCUUCUGCAACGAGGCCACUUUCCAAGGGCGCUGCAGAAACGAAAGAGCCGUAGCGGUUUGGCCGACUAGAUCGGCUGUUACAGGCCAACAGCAGAGACUAACUGAAGAACGUCUUGUUCCUGUCAGUAUGCAACGCAGGCCCUCCCAGGCAUCUUUUGCUUCCCGAGGUGCAAGAAGAACGACAUCCAUAAUACCAACAUACGACGGAGAUGCAUAGGGGACGGCUUCGCAACUGCAUGAAGUCCUUCAGAAUCAUCCAGAAGCGUUGAGGGCGAGGGCCCGAAGGCGAGCAAUUCACUGGCUUUACAAUGGCUUCGUUCGCCCGCUUCUGCAACGAGGCCACUUUCCAAGGGCGCUGCAGAAACGAAAGAGCCGUAGCGGUUUGGCCGACUAGAUCGGCUGUUACAGGCCAACAGCAGAGACUAACAGAAGAACGUCUUGUUCCUGUCAGUAUGCAACGCAAGCCCUCCCAGGCAUCUUUUGCUUUCAGAAGUGCAAGAACAACAUCCAUAAUACCAAUAUACGACGGAGAUGCAUAGGGGACGGCUUCGCAACUGCAUGAAGUCCUUCAGAAUCAUCCAGAAGCGUUGAGGGCGAGGGCCCGAAGGCGAGCAAUUCACUGGCUUUACAAUGGCUUCGUUCGCCCGCUUCUGCAACGAGGCCACUUUCCAAGGGCGCUGCAGAAACGAAAGAGCCGUAGCGGUUUGGCCGACUAGAUCGGCUGUUACAGGCCAACAGCAGAGACUAACUGAAGAACGUCUUGUUCCUCUCAGUAUGCAACGCAAGACCUCCCAGGCAUCUUUUGCUUUCAGAGGUGCAAGAAGAAAGACAUCUGCAGAAACGAAAGAGCCGUAGUGGUUUGGCCGACUAGAUCGGCUGUUGUUCGAACGACAUCAAUAACACCAACAUAGGGGACGGCUUCGCAACGCAAGCCCUCCCAAGCAUCCCAGCGGUGUGGCCGACUACCACCUUUCCGGAGCACAACUGACAUUAGGACAAGACAUGACAAGAUUCGUCCUGAAGCGGCACAAAGGCGAGCAAUUCACUUGCUCAGUGGCUUCAACAGCGGCUACAACCAACGGAACUCGGAACGUAACUGCCUUCUUGCGCACUGCCUCCCGAACAAUAAAAAGAAUCGCGUCCUAUAA